AGUGGCGCACGGGUGAGUAACGCGUAAGUUAUCUACCUCGGCAUCUGGAAUAACUCACCGAAAGGUGUGCUAAUACCGGAUACGUUGAGUAAUCAAGAAAGGUGGCCUCUGAAUAUGCUACUGUGCUGAGAUGAGCUUGCGUACCAUUAGCUAGUUGGUAGGGUAAUGGCCUACCAAGGCGACGAUGGUUAGCGGGUCUGAGAGGAUGAUCCGCCACACUGGAACUGGAACACGGACCAGACUCCUACGGGAGGCAGCAGUGAGGAAUAUUGCGCAAUGGGGGCAACCCUGACGCAGCGACGCCGCGUGGAUGAUGAAGGCCUUCGGGUCGUAAAAUCCUGUCAAGUGGAAAGAAGUGCAUGGUGGCUAAUACCUGCUGUGUUUGACGGUACCACUGAAGGAAGCACCGGCUAACUCCGUGCCAGCAGCCGCGGUAAUACGGAGGGUGCAAGCGUUGUUCGGAAUUACUGGGCGUAAAGCGCGCGUAGGCGGUUUUAUAAGUCAGAUGUGAAAGCCCUCGGCUCAACCGGGGACGUGCAUUUGAAACUGUGAGACUUGAGUAUUGGAGGGGGUGGUGGAAUUCCCGGUGUAGAGGUGAAAUUCGUAGAUAUCGGGAGGAAUACCAGUGGCGAAGGCGACCACCUGGCCAAAUACUGACGCUCAUGUGCGAAAGCGUGGGGAGCAAACAGGAUUAGAUACCCUGGUAGUCCACGCCGUAAACGAUGUCAACUAGGUGUUGGGACGG
This 745-nucleotide ribosomal RNA is filed under the name uncultured delta proteobacterium. RNAcentral describes it as "bacterial SSU rRNA". It matches the Rfam family "Bacterial small subunit ribosomal RNA", at positions 94 to 831 of the family's 1533-position model. Lineage: Bacteria; Deltaproteobacteria. The record is from RNAcentral.